Ictidomys tridecemlineatus (thirteen-lined ground squirrel) is the source of this 482-nucleotide non-coding RNA. The record is from RefSeq and is a predicted model, not a curated record. Lineage: Eukaryota; Metazoa; Chordata; Mammalia; Rodentia; Sciuridae.
ACUUUUCCCACUCUAUAAUACUGUACUUGCCUUUAGGGAAAUGGCACAAAUUGUUUAUUUAAUGCACAGUGGAAAGCCUAUUUGCUUGUGGAGAAGAGCUCAGGUUGAUGUCUAUAUCAGAACCCCCUGGCUCACUCCCUUUUCAUCUUCAUAAGGGAAAAAAAUUGAGUUGGAAAUACCAGAAGUCUCCCCUCCUCCUGGCCCUUGAUGGACAUAUCCCUGCUCAAACACAGAGCCUUAAUCAGUAUCGGAGAAAUGUCCCUUUGCUACAGGACUGAAGGGACUUGGGGAUCUGAUGUUUGAAGGGGAAGCACUCUUCCGUUCCAAAUGAUCUUUCUCCACAAAGAGGACUCAUACCAGUAAACAUGCAUCAUACCAGCAAACAUGCAUCAUCAUAGAACUUACACUGCUUAGAUGAAAUAAGAGUCUUUCCCACUGGUGCCUUAAACCUGCAGCAAUAAAAUAAGAUCUUCUUGAGGGUG